RNAcentral lists this ribosomal RNA (358 nucleotides) under uncultured bacterium. Its description in RNAcentral is "bacterial SSU rRNA". It matches the Rfam family "Bacterial small subunit ribosomal RNA", at positions 331 to 681 of the family's 1533-position model. The record is from RNAcentral.
CCAGACUCCUACGGGAGGCAACAGUGGGGAAUAUUGCGCAAUGGGCGAAAGCCUGACGCAGCGACGCCGCGUGGAGGAUGAAGGCUUUUGGGUCGUAAACUCCUGUUAGGUGGGAAGAAGGACUUGUUUUGAAUAUAAGCAAGUUAUGACGGUACCAUCAGAGAAAGCACCGUCUAACUUCGUGCCAACAGCCGCGGUAAUACGAGGGGGGCAAGCGUUAUUCGAAAUUACUGGGCGUAAAGGGGGUGUAGGCGGCGUAUUAAGUCUGUUGUUAAAUUUUUCGGCUUAGCCGAUAAUCUGCGAUGGAAACUGAUAUGCUUGAGGAUGAGAGAGAUAAAUAUAAUUCCCGGAAUAGCGG